Long non-coding RNA from Homo sapiens (human), 557 nucleotides. NCBI's taxonomy places the organism in Eukaryota, Metazoa, Chordata, Mammalia, Primates, Hominidae. The record is from Ensembl.
CGCUCUGAGCCCGACGGGGCCCUGAAUGGCUUUUCCUGCCCUGGCUCCUCCCAUCAUAUUUUAAAUGCCGUCUUCCUCCCGCUCCAAGGAAACCUUCUCUUGACGUCAGACAGAGGCUGCACCGGUACAGCUGCCAUCUCCUCUUGGUGGUGUCCUUUGUCAAGAGCAUGUCAGGGUGAUGAGUCAUCUGGGACAGGUCACCCUCCCAGCACCGAGAAGCCGACGGGGGAGGAACAGACUCCUCUGCAUUGUGAUCCAAUUGUGAACAAAAAGUCCUCUUCGUGGAACAGGAAAAAUACACUCCCUCUAAACAAUGGAUUGAACACAGAUGUGAUUUCUAAAGAAGACUGAAGGCAGGGAUACUGACACUGAAGUCCUGCCUGUGUAAUAACACCGAAGAGGGCAGGGAAUCGCUGCGUCCUGUGACUUGAAGGCCACUGUGAAGGAAAACAAUGCAGUGAAAGAAAGUUCCUCCUAUGUGGACAUUGUAUCACGUUUAUUUAUCUUCCUGGAUAUGCUUAUGGCCUUUAAAACAUAUUAAAAUAGGCUAUGCUAUU